RNAcentral lists this long non-coding RNA (251 nucleotides) under Zonotrichia albicollis (white-throated sparrow). RNAcentral's name for it is "lncRNA (ENSZALG00000001415.1)". Lineage: Eukaryota; Metazoa; Chordata; Aves; Passeriformes; Passerellidae. The record is from RNAcentral.
CGACAAGACCCAAGAUCAUCAGGAAAUGCAUGGGAACUUUUGAAGAAAUUUAAGGUGCUUGCUGCUACCAGGCAAGGACAAGGUCUGAUGCUGUUGGAGGGAGCAAGAAAAUGGGCACAGAAGGUUAGCCAUGCACUCUACAUUGAUGACAUCGAGAUCCACAGCAGCUUUCAGGAUGAAUCAAGAUGAAGAAAUGUGAUUAUUAAGGAAUAUGGCAAAACCUGGAGAAAUAAACUGCUCAGUGCUGGACA